Molecule: non-coding RNA, 4568 nt
Organism: Vicugna pacos (alpaca)
Lineage: Eukaryota; Metazoa; Chordata; Mammalia; Artiodactyla; Camelidae
Source: RefSeq, a predicted model, not a curated record
GCUGGGAGGCGGGACCGACCGGGGACCCGGAGGGCGUGGUCCAAAGAAAAGUAAAGUUAAAAAAUAAACCUGGAGUUCGAAGCGGAUAGGGCGCCCCGCAGACCGCGCGGUGCCCGCGAGUCCCGGCGGGCGGGCCCCGGGUCUUGGCGGAUAACCGCCCCCCCUCCCCACCGCGGACCACUUCGGCUUCCAGCCCUCGCCUGUGGGGCUGGGGUGAUGCCAGAUGCGCACGGUGCGGGAGGCGCGGGGCUUCGCGGGACCUCCCCGUGCGUUUCUUGGCCGCAUCCGAAAAAUCUAUAAUCAUCCCUAAAGAAUUGUUUUUAAAAGUAAGGCAGAGAACAGCCAGAUGCAGUUGCAUGCAACUUUGAUGGGCCGCUGGUUGGGACACACCAGGGACAAUUUUGGAGAAGAAACACAGAACGUUCAGAUACGUUUAAAUUUCAAACACACAACGAUAGUUUUUGUUUUUCCUAGGGCAUAUCUGAUUAUAGUGACACCAAAAAAGUGUCAAAUGUAUCUAGACGUCCUGUAUUUUAUCUGCUCACCUCUUCCCGGGGAGAAUCUGGUCACAUGCAGCUUGGACCUCGCAGGCCCGGCCAGGAGAGCCUGGAAGCUGCUUUCCUGAACGAUCCCGAGUACUAUCCGUGCUGCCGGUCCGCGGACCAGAGUUUGAGAAGCGAGAGGGCACAGUGCCUACCCCCCUGUUCGGCGGGAUUCCAGCUACUCCGCCUUUGGAAGGGGGUGUCCGGCCUCUGAGUCGGCGGGGCGGGGCGGGGUGGGGGGCGCAUUCUGUCGCAGAGGUCAGGCCGCGUGAGGUCAACUUCAGCACAGACGCGUUUUACGGAGACCAGGCCCGGCCUGCCUCGCUUGGCUAACUGGGAGGGGCGGGGUGGGGGGAGGAACAGGAAAUCAGAACUGGCUCUGGGUGUAGUUUUCUGGCCCCGGGCUGCCAGCUUUGCCCCAGCUCUCCUCCGCACAAGAGAUGAGUUUAGGCACAGGAACACGGUUUCCGGUUUCAGUGGCUGGAUGUUACCCUCAUUCAGCGGAGGCCAGUCGCGCAGCGGGAGCAGCCCGGGUCACUCCCUGUGCUCCGUCACCUCGUCCCCAUUUCUCAGAAUUGAGUUUUGGGGACUAUUGAAUGCUUCAUGGGCAAAAUUACCUGGGGUCAUGGGAUGAAAUGUGCUUCCCCGCCUCGCACAAAUUUCAAAUGUUGACGUCCCAACUCCCAGGACCUCAGAAUGGGGCUGUGUUUGGAGAUGAAGGUAAAAUGAGGUCACUAGGUGGGUCCUGAUCCCAUAGGACUGGGGUUCUUAUAAGAAGAGGAGAUGAGGACCCAGAGACACGCAGAGGGACGCCCACGUGAGGACACAGGGAGGAGACGGCCGUCCGCGCACCAAGGAGACACCAGCCCUGCUCACAGUUGGUCUCAGAUGCCAGCCUCCGGGACCAGGAGGGACAAAUGUCUGUUGUACAAGCCCGCCAGUCCGUGACACUCUGUUGUAAUGACCCUAUCGGACAAUUACACCCGUGAGUCAAGGCAGCUUUUAUCACAGAGAAAUCCAUAGAGAUAACUUUCAACAUCUGAAACAUCGGGGAAUGUAUACUUCUAAGCAGGUCUGUUCAUGGAAGGGAAUUUUCAAACUUUUCAUAAAUAGUCAACGAAAUGGGAGCAUUGUGCCUAAAUUUUAAGGAUUAUAAGCAGUCAUCCAAAUUUUAUAACACACUCUGGUCUUCAUUAUAUAACAAGAUGACAUUCCCCAAAAGGGAGUAAAAUGUCCCCAAAAGGUGACAUCUGGAUUAGGACAUUCUUUCCUAUUUUUUUUUUUCCCAACGUUCCACAGACGUUCCUGUAAUGAGGACACAGACUUCAGAGCACGCCCUGAAAGAUUUUGCAGGAGACACAGAUUGAGAGAUUUGGAAACCUGGUGGGGUUUUUUUGUUUUGCUUUCUUUUUGUUUGUUUGUUUCUUUUCAUAAAGUGAUGGAUUAGGUUAGAAUUAUCUUAGACCUUGCUGAGGUCUGAGUUUAUCUUAACUCCCUGGAGGGAAGUAUGAAAACACUUAGUAAUUCCUACCCGAGAAAUACAGAUUGUUGUAGUCAGUCACCAGUCCUUAAUCAGUCCAAGGAGGAAGUUUGAAAACAGAAAGAAGAUGUGACGAAAUGAGAAACACAGCCCCUGACCUUGGAGGACCGCGGCUGCGGCGGUAAUUCCUCCUUCACGGGUGACAAAGGCACCCUUGUCCCCCUCCGAGGCGUGUGUGGGGAUCUGGCAAAGCGAAGCCACCGUGGAUCUGGAAGAACCCAUGUAGAGACGAGACUCAGAAACUCUGAAAGUCUCGGGAUGAGGUGGCCACUAGGUUGUCUCAUGAUAAAGCCAGGGUUUUUUGUUUGUUUGUUUUUUUAAAGUUGUUUGGUGCUGGCGAGGAAAGCAGGAGAUUGAAACAAUAUGACAAGAUGUGUCUGUCUGUGUAUGGGUGACUGGGACACUGUGCUGUGCGCUGGGAACGGGCACAAUGUAACUGACUGUACUUCAAUAAAAAGACUAAAUACGUAUAUGUAAAAUAGAUAAACGAGGUCCUAAUAUAUAGCACGGAAAACUAUAUCCAAUAUCCUUUAACAACCUCUAACAAUGCAGCACCCCACGGAGCCUAGUUUGGUGGCCACAGGCAUGCCCCACCCUACAGGGGGUGCAGACUUUACAGGGGAUCAUCGGCAAGGGACUGUGGAAAUCCUCCCGCUUUCCAGCUCCCGCUGCAGGGGCUUUGGGACUGGUACCCAGGUGCGUGAAGGUGUUGGGGGAAAACGGUCCAUUCCAGCAGACUUUGAAAUUGCAAGUCUGCCCGCCAAGGGGGUGCUGAUGGAGUCCCCUCCCCCGGCCCCGAGUGCCAGGCAUCCGACAUAGGGGUAUUUGGAUAAAGCAGAGAAAACCUGGGACUCGUGGGCUCAGAUUGCAUGGAGGAGGGAUGGACAACCGGCACUCAGAAUUGUUAAGAGGAUGUAACGUACUGGGCACUAAACGAGGAGUAACAACGUGGGAGGACCAGGCGGGAGAGCGUACCACAGCGUGUGGUCAUUGCCCAUGUUCAUAAUUACAUAGUCCCAUGUCUGUAAGUAUAUAUUAGCAGUUUAUGUCACAGAAUAUAUACAUGAGUUUAUCUCUAUGAUUAUAUAGGUCUAUACACAUAUCUGUAUGUACAUGUAUCAGGUCUCCCAGGAGGGGUGGAAUUUAAGUAGAUGCAGGGAAGGCGUGACCUUCAGGUGUGUGGGGAGGUGGCGGGGACGGCGUGGCUGGCGUGGCUGGGGGGUGCAGCAGGGCUAGGGUGCGGUCCGGGAGGACCUCGAAAGGAUUUUGCUUCUUACUCCAGGUUGGGUCGCCAGACUGAGUAGAUAAAAAAGCAGGACACCCAGUUAAAUUUGAAUUUCGGACAAACAACAAACUAUUGUUUUAGUGUAAGGAUGCCCCGUGCAAUAUUUGGGAUGUACUUAGACUGAGCACUGAGCUGAAUUUGAAUUUUAGUGUGAGCAUAUUCCAUGCAAUCUUUCGGUUUACUUAUACUCAACGCCUGGAUGAAUUGUAAUCUCAGAUAAACAGUAAACGAUUGUUUUUGUAAAAGUAUGUCCAUAAAAUAUGUGGGACUUACAGGAAAUGCUCAGCUGAAUGAGAAUUUCAGAUAAACACGGAAUCAUUAUUUUAUUCUAAAUAUGUCCCAUCCAAUCUUUGGGGCAUAGUAACACUAAAUGCUGAGUUGAAUUUGAAUUUCAGACAAACCAUGAAUAUUUUUUUUUUUUUAGUGUAAGUCAGUCCCAUUCAAUAUUUGAGACCUGCUUAGUCUAAAAAGUCGUUUGCGAUUGAUCUGAAAUUCCCAUUCAGCCAGCUUCCUUCGUCAUUUUAUUUGGCAGCCCUAACUCUGAGCAAAAUGCAGAGUUACCGUCGAAUUUCGAUUUUAAAAGGGCUCCUCUGACUGCUGAGUUGAGAAUAAGCUUCGAGGACCUACAGCAGUGGUUAGAACCAGCUUUAGAAAACUCUGCGUGUAGCCGGGCUUCACCACAGACCAACUGAAUCUAGUCUCGAGGAAUGGGGACCCAGGCAUAGGUAUUUCUGUCAUUGCCUCAGGGGACUGUGGUGCAUGUUGACAGCUGAGAUUCCCAGCGGAAGGCUGCUGGAGUCAUGCAGAGAGACAUGAUGGGGGUGUCAUGAAUUAAUAAAGGCUGGGGCAGUGAAGCUGUGACACGAUGCGAGACUGUCAUGGUGAGUAUAUGACGUGGAACCUUCCUCUAAACCCACAGAAUGUACGGCACCAGGAGCGGACCAUCAUGUAGACCAAAGAGUGUGGGUCAUGAUGAUGUGUCAAUAUUGAGUCACUCGUUGUGAUAAAUGCAGGAUGUUAAUCAUGGGGAAGCUGGGUGCCGAGCUAGAAAGGGUACAUCAGAACCAUGUGUACGUUCUGUUGAUUUUUACUGUUAACUCUGCUCUAAGGAAUAGUCCACUUAAAAAAAUAAAAAGAGUGAAGUAAAAUCAUGUGCAGCAACAUGGAUGGACCUAGAGAUGAUCAUACUAAGUGAAGUCAG